ACACACUGGGACUGAGACACGNCCCAGACUCCUACGGGAGGCAGCAGUGGGGAANNNNNNGCAAUGGGCGCAAGCCUGACGACGCAACGCCGCGUGGAGGAUGAAGACCUUNGGGUNGUAAACUCCNUUCGAUCGAGACGAACGGCCCUUGGGAUAACACCCCGAGGGAGNNNCGGUACCGAGAGAAGAAGCCCCGGCUAACUCCGUGCCAGCAGCCGCGGUAAUACGGGGGGGGCAAGCGUUGUUCGGAAUUACUGGGCGUAAAGGGCUCGUAGGCGGCCAACUAAGUCAUACGUGAAAUCCCUCGGCUUAACCGGGGAACUGCGUCUGAUACUGGAUGGCUUGAGUUCGGGAGAGGGAUGCGGAAUUCCAGGUGUAGCGGUGAAAUGCGUAGAUAUCUGGAGGAACACCGGUGGCGAAGGCGGCAUCCUGGACCGAAACUGACGCUGAGGAGCGAAAGCCAGGGGAGCAAACGGGAUUAGAUACCCCGGUAGUCCUGGCCCUAAACGAUGAAUGCUUGGUGUGGCGGGUAUCGAUCCCUGCCGUGCCGAAGCUAACGCAUUAAGCAUUCCGCCUGGGGAGUACGGUCGCAAGGCUGAAACUCAAA
Molecule: ribosomal RNA, 607 nt
Filed under: uncultured bacterium
Lineage: Bacteria
Description: partial 16S ribosomal RNA
Rfam family: Bacterial small subunit ribosomal RNA
Source: RNAcentral